This 36530-nucleotide long non-coding RNA is filed under the name Vitis vinifera (wine grape). Its description in RNAcentral is "long non-coding RNA (VVIN_LNC001307)". Lineage: Eukaryota; Viridiplantae; Streptophyta; Magnoliopsida; Vitales; Vitaceae. The record is from RNAcentral.
UCUUCUAAAAAAGUUUUUAGAGAAAAUAGUUCCAUUAUUAUUUGAAAGUAUUUUUAAUAAAAAUGUUUUUAUUUGAAAGUGUUUUUAGGAAAAUUAUAUAUUAAGAGUGCAUUUGACAGUGAUUUUAAGAAGUGUUUCUAAUAUUUUUUAUAUUUGAAAAUUUUUAUUGAUGUCAAAAACAUUUUUUAGAAUCACUGUCAAACGCAUUCUAAGUGUUUUUUCUCAGAAAAAACACUACUAAUUAUUUUAUUUAUUUAUUAAUAAUAUAAAUGAAUUUUCAGAUUUUUAAAGGUGUUUCUUAAAUUUUUGCAAAUAAUUUAUUUUUCAAAAACACUUUUCAUGCUAUAAGUACCCACACCAACUCUUAGUACUUAUUUGUCAAUUAUUUUAGAAACAUUUUUAAUGCUUCUAUCACUCAAAAAUUUUUAUCAUUCAAGUAUUAAAAAUAUUAAACAUGUUUUCUAAAAUGAUCAAAAGUACUCUUAGUUUAAAAAGUAUUUUAGAAAAAAAAAAUAAUUAUUUUACAAAUUUUAAAAAAUACUUUUAAAAAUUUUUAAAAUUACUUAUAAGAGGAACACUUGAUAGGUAAUUCUUUAAAAAAUAUUUUAAAAAAAAUAUUUUCACUAAAAGUACUUACAUUGUGAAAACAUAAUUUAAAUAAAAAUAUGAAGAAUAAAAUUAAGAUAUAAAAAAUAAAAUUAAAUACAAAUAAAUAGAAUUAGAUAUAAAAUAAUGAGAUAUAAAUAUAUACAUGGAUAGGUAGAUGUCUCUUUAUGAUCAAAUGAUUUGAGCCACAAGUCACUACACAGGAUGACGUUAGGAAUGGUAGGUUUGGUUGGUUUGGAAUCCAGAUCAUCAAGGCCCACUUUGGCUAUAAAAAAAAAUUAUAAUACAAAUCAAAUCAAAUCAAAUCAUUUGAGUUAAAAGCAGAAGAAAAAGAAAGGUAAAGGAUGGAAAAAUAGAUAUAAAAAAUUGCCCACUUUAGAAAAUCUUGCACACACCAAACAUAACCUUCAAAAAUCCAAACAUUCACUUAUUAAUAAUUGAUUUUUAUAAAAAAAAAAAAAAUAAUCAAAAUUAAUCUCGAAACAAAUUCUUACUUUCCAAGAUGUAACGUGGGGCCACUUGACACGAUGUGGAGUGCCAAAGCCCUCAAAAGUAAAAGAAGGCAUUAAAUUCUUAUUUUAAAAGCAUUCAAAUGAGACGUUUAAAAUAAUAGAAGAAUGCAAUAAUGGUGCGUUGGUUGUUUAGUCACCUCACUUAUACAGACUUCCAUAUAUACACGCUGACAUAAAACCAUUAAAAAACAUACUCAUGUUGGGAUUUUUUUUAAUAAAAAUAUUAUUUUCUAAAAAAUAAUUAUUUAAAAAUAUAUAUAUAUGAUUUUCAUACUAAACCCGACUUUCAAAAGAUGAUUUCACUUUCUUUGACGAUUCCAAUUUUUUUUUUUAAUUUAAUUCAUCUUUUAAAAAGUCGGGUUGAUUUUGAUAUUGAAUUUAUCUUUUGAGAAUACGAGUUUUACUUAUGUCGUAAAUUUAAAAUUAUUUUUUAUAUUAUAAUUUUUUUAAAAUACAUUGGUCUUGGAUAAGACCGAUGAUGUUGCCCUUCAUUCGUUUCAAAUUUUGUCAAUUUUUCUCAAAUUCGAAGUCUGAAUUAAUAUUUGAGGCCACAUUCAACCAUCUUUCCAUAUUUCAAAACCGUAUGAACUAGAAAAAACCACCACAACUAGGGAAAAAUUAUGUGGAUGGUGGCUAUGGAAGGCUGAAGAUUCAAUACAAGGAGGCUGCGAAGAUUCCAGAGAAGUCAAUUCUUCCAAAUAGACGAUAUGUUCAGAGAAAAAAAAAUGACAAAACCUCUCCAUUCAACCCGGUGUAGCGUGUGGGAAACAAACACCAACCAGCAGCCCCACUUCACAUUCACGUAUUUGUAUAUAAAUAUUGGUUCUCUGUGCCUUGUCUCCCCCUCCAUCUACUAAACAAACUUACCAUUCACACCCAUAUUUGCUAGCCACCUUCCUCCGCGAUGUCGUCUGUGGAUACUGAGAAGCCGGCUCCUCCUCCGUUGGAGACCGAGGCUCCGCCUCCGCCUCCCCCUCCCCCUCCCCCUCCCCCUCCGCCUCCCCCUCCUCCGGCGGGCUACUCAGCUUUGGAUGUGGUUCUGAGGAUAUUGUUGCUUGGGUCGGCGGUGGCGUCGGUCGUGGUAAUGGUGACCAGCGUGCAGACUAAGCUCAUUGCUGUGGCGGGUGUCCCUGUUCUUGUGUCUAAUAAAGCCAAAUUUCAAAACUCUCCGGCUUUCAUGUGAGUUACAUCCACUCACAAAAAUGAUUCAAAACUCAAGGAGUGCAAAUUUUGGGCUUAUUUGAAAAGUGCUUUUGAAAACAGUUCUGAAAAUCAUGUUUUGUAGAACAAAAUUUUGUUUAAAUUUUUAUUUUGUUCUGAAAGUGUAUCAGAAGUAGUUUUAAAUAUAUUUUAAACAUAUUUUAUUUUUAAUCAUUUUGUAUAAUUAUUUUUUGAAAAAAAAAACUGUUUUUAAAAACAGUUUCAAUAAGCCCAAAAUAGCCACUUUUUGAGUCUCUCACGCAGGACUGUUUUCCUUUUAUGUUAGGUGUUAGUAUUAGAUAUUUUGUCCAUAAAAAAAAAUAAAAAAAAAUAAAAUUCAAGGUUUCAACAAGAUUUCUAACGUUAAUUUUAAUUCCUAUUUCAUGUAAACCAAGUUAGCUUUCUCUGUAACUACGAAAGCACAUAGAAAAGUUGCUAAGUUGCUUUCUACAUCUUAAUUAUAGGGAUGCUGUUUAAUUUAAUAGAAGUAGAGGUAAAUAUUACUGUGACGUGAUUGAAUAUUUUUUUAGUAUGAAGUGUAUUUUAAAAAAAUUGAAUUUAAAAUAAAAAUAAAAAUAAUGUUAGACUUGAUUUGAUAAUUAUUUUCAAGAACAAUUUUUGAGAAUGAUUUUUAAAAUUUAUUCUCUAAAAUAGUUUAAAAAAAUAAUUUUUAAGAAUCGUUAUUUAAUGUUUUAUAAAUCAAAUACGUAUUUGAGAAUCCUAAAUAUUUUUAACUUGUUUUCUCUGCAUUUAAAUAUGUUUUAAAAAUUAUUUUUUAUAUAUAGUAUUUUAUUUUUAAUUAUUUUUUAUAUUUAUUUAACUAUUUUUUAGAACAAUUUUUGAAAAAUAAGUAAAAGAUAUUUUUUGAAAACACCACAUUUUCUAUUUUUAAGAAAAUAAAUUGUUUUAUAUUUUCUAAUUACUCAAAAUGUUUUCUUUUUUUUUUUUUUGUUUUGAAAAGUAAAAAAUUGUUUUAAAAAACAAUUUCAAACAUAGCUUAGCUUUUUGAGUGGUUCAUAUUAAUUUUUAUUUUAUCCAAACUUUAGAUAUAUUUAAAAAAAAUCAAGUUACUUGCAAUACUUUUGACAAUGUUUUAUUCGAAAUGUUUUCUUUGCAAGUGUUUUUCAGAGAUGAUCGAUUAUCCUAAAAACACUACAAAUGAUUUUUCAAUACCACAUCUAAUUUUUCAGAUUUUUAAAAAUGUUUUCUAAAGUUUAUGAUUUUUUUUUCAAAAUACUUUUUGAACUAAAAAUGUUUUCUAGAAUCGUUGUCAAAAUGUACUCUUAAAUAUAGUACAGCUUUCAUCGUCUGAUUUUUAGUUGUCACUAUGCAGAUACUUUGUAGCAGCACUCUCAGUUGUUGGCCUCUACAGCAUCAUCACUACGCUGGCAUCCUUUAUAUUCAUAUCAAAGCCAAGUUGCUCAACAAAGACCAUUCUCCAUCUAGCAAUCUGGGAUGUGGUAAGGCCUUUACCUCUGAAAAUUGUCUUUCCUUUCAACCCACUUCUCUAACUACACAGAUAACAGUCUAGCACAGAGCAUGCUUGUCUAGUUUUCUGCCAUCUUAUUGAUGUUGUUGAAAAUAUACUCACAAUGCCUGUGGGUGCAGCUGAUGCUGGGGUUGGCAGCUUCGGCCACAGGCACAGCCGGGGGCGUUGCAUACGUCGGAUUGAAAGGCAACUCUCAUGUGGGCUGGAACAAGGUGUGCAACACUUAUGAUAAGUUCUGUCGCCAUGUGGGAGGCUCGAUUGCUGUUGCAUUGUUCGCAUCUAUUCUGCUCGUCUUGCUUGUUUGGCUCUCUCUUUUCACCCUCUACUCUCGUAUCAGAAAAUAGUGUUUCGAGGGCAUGCAGAUAUCUGAAACAUGGCAAUUGAAUGUGUGUGAUGUGUUGAAGCCUUAGCUUUGGUUCUGUGGUUUUAAGUGUUAAGAGGAUUCAUGUGUAGUCGUGUGAACUGAAUUGAUUUUUUUCUUGUAUCCAUAAUGUACAUCCAUUUCCAAUUAUGAAACAUGUAUUUCGAUCUUUGUGGAUUUCGUGUAGGAAAUGUUAUAAAUGUUGCUUUCGCCUAUAAUUUUCGGUCUUCGCAUCAAGGCAAGAGUCAUCGAAGUUAAGCAAUCACUUCUUUAUCACUAAUCAUGCAUAUGUUCGAUUCAAAGGAACCGUCUUUCCUUAGUCAAAGGAAUCCAUUAAUGUUUUUUUGGUACUGUUGUGCUAACGAUCGCUUCAAUAUAAACAUAUUAGUUUAAGAAGACAAAGAUAAAAUAAUCUACACAAAAGUACAUGAGAUUUUAACAUAGUUUGGUUAACUAUACCUACAUCCACGAAUGAGAGAGAAACAUUUCACUGUAUCAUACAAAUAAAACUAUUGGGUUCCUAAAACAUUCCAUAUUUCUCCACUCCUCGUAUUUACACCUUGAACCACAAGUCUCUCAAUUUAUCGAGUGUCUCUCAUUUUUAUCCACCUCAAUAUAAUCUUCACAAUCUCAUCUUCAUUUCAUAACUUUUUCGCUUUUUUUCCCUUCGUGACUUAAAAUAUUUUUGGAGAUACUUCUAAUAAUUUUUCUUAUUCUAUAAGAAAAUUUAAUAUUACAAUGACGUAUCAAUAUAGAAAAUAUUUUUUAUAAAAAUGAAUCUACACUAAUUAGAAAUUUGAGACACCUUCCAACAACUACCAAUACUAUUUUGGGUACAGGCAGGCAAUGAGAACAACUCCAUCACUAAAUUGAACCCACCAACAUGCCAUGUCUAAGGACACGAAUAAGACAGGAAAGGGCGGCAGCUAGACUGAGUGGCCUACCAUGUGAAAUGUGACAGACAGAAACCGAGUCUCGCCCAUCCAAAUAAUAGCCAGGCAAGAGCCAUCAAGGACGGUUAAAACUACCAAAUGGGGAUCAAGCCCUGCCCAGCUCAUUCCCUAAUAACCCUUGUUUUUGGUUAGACAAGAUAAUUCAAUAAGGAUACAGGCAGGUGCUCAACUUCCAUAAUCACUAACUAAAGUGGAAGGAAAUAGUAGUAUUAUGAACUGCAGAACCAAAAGAACCGUAUACUGUCUUGUACAAGUUGACUUCCAUCACUUAAACAAGUCAUAUGGAAGCCAAAACAGCAGGCUUUGACAGUGUCUGCACAUCAGUGUCUAUGAAGAUACCAGAAUGCAAUGCUACUAUAAUGGCCUUAUUGAAUAAGACUAGAAUUUAAAUUAACCAAGAAAUAGGAGGAGAUCGCAUAUAUUUUGGUGCUUUGAGCCUAAGGAAUAAGAUGUUUUUACUUACAAUUUUCUAACCAUAACAAAAUUUCAGUUGGGUAAAGCAAAUUUAUUAUGACCAUAUCCUGCACUGUAAAAUUCACUCUGAUGUGAAGCAUGAAACCUAAGCCUUCUUUGGAUUUUUUUUCCCCAUAACUAAACACUUAAGUUGAAGCCAAACCCAUAAUUUUCAAACGGCAAUAAUGAUAUCAUACAAAUUUCAUUAAACAUGAGAUAACUUCCUGUACAAGAACUUCUAUUUUUAAAAAGCAACAUGUAUAUUUAGUUCUUUUUAAGCUAUAAACUCUUUCAACAAAAUCACCCAAAUAGGUAUAGAAGCUCCUAUUGAGCUUAAAAAAGAACUUUUAGUUUCUCAGUAGUCAAUCCAAAUAGGUCUUAAUCUCUCUUUAGAUUAAUUUCUAAUCAUGUAUAUGUUUUCUACAGUCCAAAUUUUUUUGCACCACUUACAGAUUUGAAUCUGAAUAAAAGGCCUGAGGAAUUCAAACAACUACUGGAAAAAACAGCUCAAUUUGCAAGAGUCCUAAGACUCCAAUCUAGCCAGUCCAUAAACUGGUUUUCUAAGAGUACAAAAUCCCAUAAUGAAAAUUAACCCACAAUUAUCCAAACUCUAACAAUUCAGACUAGUAUACCAACCAUAAUGGGGUUAAACUUAAAACAUUGAGAAAAUGUUGUUUCCUGACUAACCAAUAGAAUUUUAACUUGAAAGAGAUUCAUCAAGAAUGUAUGCAAAUUACCACUGACACAAGAACCUACCUCACUCCCAAUCCAGGCCUGAAAGUGGCAAUGCCAGACCUGGAGCUCAGCCGUAGUGAGCUGUUGUUCUGAACUAUGUAUUCGGUAUUCCCACAAACCAACUAUAUCAACAGCUCUGUCAAAAUGGUCUUUCCUUAAGAGUUCUGUUUCCGUUAUACAAUUAUGAUACUAAACAACUUGACAGAAAGAGAGUGGGGCAUCCUUUGAUAGAAUAUGACACUUACAUAAGAAUUACAUUAUCUGCAAUUUAAAUAGUAGUUGAACUUACUGAAUUUUUAUCGCAAUGUUGUCAACAUCCAUGGAAUCUAAUCUUGAGUUCACUUACAUAGAGGAUAUUACAUUGCCAUGCUGAGGCUGAGUAAUUACAACAACUGCAAGGACUCAACUGAGUAUCAAGACAUCAAAAUCUAACCAGUGAGAAUGAUUUAGGCUCACUUCAACACAUUGGAGAGAGCUUCUACAAUUAGGGCAAUGUGAAAAGCAUCAAACUAGUGGUCAAAAAGCAUUUUACAAUGCAAAUUUAUUAGUUUGGAUGACUGAAAACUUUACAAAACCAUCUAGUUUAUAACUCAUACAAGAUACCGAUCAAUUAAAAGAUAAAAACCUGCAUACCUUAGACAAUUUAGGAAAAUGAUUGAACAUUUGAGCAUUUGAAUUUACAAACGUCAACUGGAACAGGGCAUUUAAAAAAUUGUCUGUUCUCCUAAUUCCUGACCAGCCAUCCCUUCUCUGAGCACCCUUUCAAAGAAUUCCUCUAACGUGUCUUUUCCAUAGCUUGGAGUUUUCUCAGCACUAUACUCUCCAGUUUCUGGAUCCAAAACUAACAUGCUCUCAGCUGCAUAAUACCUACCAAUUUUCCCAAACUCAGCAGCAUCUUCCAUUGAAGGAAAAAUCUUGACGAGAAAAUCAAGAAAGCCGAUAGCAAAAUCCAUUAUACCAAUUGGCACUUUCAAGAAGUUGGGUUUCCUCCCUGCAAGUCUAAAUAACAUCUCCCCUUGUUCCAACGGAGUCAAGGCCUUCCCCGGCCCGCCAAUAGGCAAAACUUGGUUAAUCUUAUCUUUCUCCAGUACACAAUCUGCAAUGAAUGAAGCCAAAUCCUGCUCACUAAUAGGCUUACAAGCACACAAUUUUCCAUCCCCAAACAUAACAUAUGGCUUCCCAUCUUUCACCAACUCAACCUGUCCUCCCAAACUCUUGAAGAAAGCUGUUGGCCUCACAAUACUAUACGUGAAACCAUCAUCCUCUUCUGCCUCUUUCAUCAAUUCAGCCUCGAAUUUCAGCUUGGCCCGCUGAAAUUCAAGAAGCGGUUUCUGCACACAAACGGCAGAAAGCAAUACAAAAUGAGAAGCCCCACGUUUCCUCCCAGCAACAAGACUAUUCUUCGUGGCCUCAUAAUCAAUUUUCCAUGAAUCCUUAACCCCACCAGUGCGGCUAGCGAGGCAAGAGACAACAACAUCAAUAGGCAACCCCAAAUUCUCCAGAGACUUCUCCAGAACAUCUAAAGAAGUCACAUCUGAAAACCACACAUUAGCUCCAUUUAACUCAGUUAAGGUAUCCUCUUUUCUAUUCCUUCCUCUAAUCCCACUCCUUUCUCUAGCAAUUGCUAUGACAUUGAACCCUCUACUAACCAACUCUUUCACCACAAAUUUUCCUAUGUACCCAGUUGAACCCACCACCACCACAUUGAUUUCGCUUGCGUUUUUGCCUCUGAAUGAAGAUGGGGGUUCAACAGUUGGGGUGAUUGAAGCUGUAAUGGGUAGAAACCUCUCUCUACUAAAUUUAGGCGAUUGUGAUAAACUCAAAGGCAAACGUGUUAUAGCAUAUGGUGCUGGGGUUACCUGAUUCUGGUUGAUGAAUUGAGAAGCAGAACAGUUUCUGAAGCUUCUGGUCUUCGGAGAGUGGAGAGUGAGUACAUUGGAGGAGAGAUAAAGAGACAUUUUUGGAGGUGAAAGAGAGUUGAUUUUGGAGAAAUGGUUGUGGCUUUGGCGAAGUGUGGUGCAGAGAGAGGAAAAUCGAAAAUGUGAGGCAGAUGAUGAAGGCGAGUGGCCUUCCAUGUCGUGACCGAGCUGCUCUACGCCUGUGUGGAAUCCAAAUGAUAGGCGGUGGAUAUGCUAGGAGGAGAUAUGUUUUAACUUUUUGGAUUUUCACGCUUUUAUACAAAUAAAUAUAUAAAUGAUUUUUAUUUUUAUUUUUUAUUUUAAGAUUAAAUGAUUUUAAAAUAUAUAAAUUUUAAUUAUAAGAAAAAAAAUUAUUAGUAAUUUUUUUCCCCUUUUCAAUAUUUCUUAAGAGCUUACAUAGAUUAAUAGUGAUUUUAAAAAACAUUUUUAGUUUAAAAAAUAAUUUUAAAAUUUAAAAAAUAUUUUUAAAAAUUUUAAAAUUACUUACAGUUUUAAAAAAUCACUUUUAAUAUUUUUUGAAAAAACACUUCUUAAUAUAAUAGUUUCACUAAAAACAUUUCAAGUAUAAACACUUUUAAACGCACUCUUAUGUUUGAUAUUAGUUAUAACGAGAAAAUAAAAGAAAACAUGUUAUUAUUAUUAUAUAUAUAUAUAAAUUAAUUUAGAAAGAUGGAAAAUGAAAAUAUUUUUUGUAAAAUAAAAAAUGAAAAUAAAAUAGCAAGAACUCGUUAUUAAAUAAUAUAAUAAUAUAUUUAAUUGAUAUUUAUUUUUACAUUAAAAUAAAAGAAAUCUUCUAAUUCUUUUAAUAUGUCGAUUUUGUUCUUAUAUAUGGAGGCCACAAUUUAGUAUCAAUGUUUAUCAAACUCUUAUACAUUCUUUGUUUAUCAAGCAUUUAAUCACUCCAUGUCACAACUAAUUUUUCUUUCAUCAUGACUAAGAGUGAUUUUCUCAAAUUUAAAGGAAUAUUGAAUUGCACUUUAGAGAUUGCUAGAAGGGCUUUCCUUUCAAUGACCCACACGAAGUUGGAAAGAAAAUAAGUGUUGAAAUGGGCAUAAAAGCUCUUAAAAACGCCUAUAUCGUCUUAAUGACUUGUUGAGGUUGGGGAUGAAAUGCUUAAUAAGCUAAUAAAUCAUUUCUUUAGGGCUAAUCCACAUUUCCAACAAUGAAUUAGGUUCUCCUUUGGGACAAAUUGAACAUCGAUAUUGAGUCAUAAAUGCUUCACACAAGGUUCUGAAAGAAUUGAUGAAUCCUUCCAACAAUCCAUGAAACCAUGAAAGGGUGAGAGCAUGCAAGUUGGUUGGAAAAAUCUUAUACAAUAAUAGUUCGUUAGAGGCUUCUAGCAUCAUGACCUAUUUAAAAUACAAUAUAUGGUCAUAAGGAUCAAUGGUCUUGUCAAACAUGUUAAAUUUGGGCAUAAAAAGACCUUUUAGCACCUCUCAUGCCAUGAUAUCAUGAGAAAAUGACAUCCAUAUGAGGCUAUCUAGAAUCAAAUAAGUUAAUGGUGGGAUGAUCUAACCAAACAACCAAAUACCCUAGCUAUUGAUGGUGCUAGUAGAGAAAUGUGUGCCUAUUAGCUUAUAGUAUGCUAACUAUAUUUCUCUGAUAUCUCCAAUGUGGCUCGAUGAUUUCUAAUAAGAAACAAUAAAGAUUAUUUUUACUAUGGGCUCAAUAUUAAUAUCUUGCACUGAUGGUAGUGGUUGUUCUUGAAUGUGAAAAGGGUAACCGGUCUCCAUUUAUUAAUGUUUUAGUAGUAACCAGGAUAUCUCAUUUUCGACUCACAUCUAUUCUAUGGCUUGUUAUAACACUUUGUAUUAGAGGUGAUGCUUUACUUGCUACACCUCUAAUUGAGCCAAAGUCACUCUAAUAUACUCCUCUAAGGUAAGAGCCCCUUCACCAUCGCAUGCUACAUUUUCUCUAAGUCAUUUUCAUUGGAAAAUGGCUUCUCAACCAAUUGAUUCCAUAGAUGGCACAAUUAUUGGAACAAAACUUUCCAAUAAACGUUCUUCUUUAAACCUCUUUUAUAUAACUCUCCUUAUUAUUGCAUAAGUCCAAUAGCUAACUAGCUUUACACUCCCCUAGUGCCUUCCUACAAACAUAGGUGGAGGUGAAGAAAUUUUAACAAACCCCACCUUGAGAGUUCUAAAGUAUCCUUUUUUGUGGAGGCCAGUAAAAUCACCCGACUUGAUGGCUUGACUAAAAAGAAACACAAAAUUUGUCUGUCAUUAAAAAAACUACUACAAGCAUGAGAAUAGUAAAAAAUGAUGGUUCCAAGGCUCGUAGAGCUAUCAACCCUAUAAAAAGGAAAAAAAAACUUUUAAAAAAAUGUAAGAAAUUUCAUAAGAAACCCAUAAAGAAAACUUUAUAUAUAGCUUCUUCCAACCAAAGAGAAAGAGAUCCUCCUCCAUUAAAGUUCUCUUCACAACAUAUUUUUUUAAUAAAGAGGCACAUUCAAAAUUGUUGAAACCUAAUCAAUUGGGAGCAGUGUUUCUCCCUUCUUCCCUGCAAAAGAUGUCCAGACACACCCUCCGAAGCUCAAGUCAGAUGAUUAAUGUCAACUCGAGAUAUUGCCCCUUUUUUGGAGUUAAAGAAGGAGUCUGUAUUGCACGUGUACCUUGAUUUUGGGCUGAAUGAGGGCUCUUAUAGUGUUUGGAACGGUGUCACAUUUGUGCUAAUUUGAAUUUUUGACUUUCGCAAUCAUGAUGACAGCACAGUUGAUGACGGAGCAAUUAUCACUUUUUAGGCGGCUAACAGGGAUUGCUAGUGGAGGUGACUUGAUGGUUCACUUGUCACCUUAGUCUACAGGCGGUAUGGUGCAGCAUGUAGUAGGUCACAUGCGGAGACAGAGUGACGUCCCAUCGAACGUACUGUUGGCAUGAGAAGAAUGAUUGCUCGUAGGAGUGGGGUAGAAAACCUAUUCAGAAUGCACUGUGCAAUCUUAAAAUAACACAAUGUAACUGAUUACUGAUACUCAUAGGCCGGAUUGGACAUUCCGAUCUGGUUAUGCUCGUCCAAACAGAGAUAGACGGAUGUCAUGUGGAGCAAAGGUGGCCUGUCACGUGGUCACACGGGGAAGCCCCUACAAAAAUGACCAUUUUCUUUGCUUUGUCAUAUCCUAGUUUUUCAACUAGUUCAAGAAUUUUAGCAUCUUCAACAAGGAUGUGCCAGAUUUGGUUGCUCUAAUAGAUCAUCCUUUGACGGUUAAGCCAAUAACCACAAUUAUAAAUAGAAAAGAGGAGAAGGAAAAGAAGGGUAAGAAUGCCAACACUGGAUUGUGUUUACCCAAAGCUACUCACACACACACAUAUAUAUAUAUAUAUAUAUAUAUUUGGAGUCAAUCAACAUAUUUUCAUUGUUAGCAUAGUCUCCCCUCCGAUCUUAUGCAAAAGCAAUACAUUGGUUUCAAACGUGUUGAUAUGAAAUAUUAUGCUAGUAAAAUAUCGAUUCAUGCUUUUAAAGGGUGAAUAAAAAACAAAUAUUAAAAGGCCUUGGCUGUACGAUUAAAAGGCUUGGAAGGAUGACUCAACCAAAUUACAACAAAUUAGCUACAAGUUUUAUUCCCAAGUAAUUGCCACGUAAUCAUUACCACUGCGCCACCUUUUUCCACAUAUUUAUAAUUUUUUUUCAUUUUUAAAUUAAUUAAUAUUAUAUAAAAUUAAUAUAUAUUUUACUAAAUGUUUUACUAAUUAACCUAUAUUUAAUUAAAAAACUAUUAAUAACAUCCAUUUAAUUAGAAAUCUAGAAUCUUAUAAUAUUUAUUAAUUAAUCAAUCAAAUAAUUGUAAGAUAUUUUCAAGCAAGACAACAAUCAAAUUAUGAAUGAGAGUUUAUAAUUCAAUGUGCUUGGGUCGCUUGACCUCCAAAACAAGCCCAAUUAAAAUUUAAAUCAGGUUGACAUUUUUAUCCCAAUCUCAUUUCAGUCAAAAUUUAGUGAGUGUUUGAUAAACCAAUUUAAUAACUUAAAGUGAUUUAAUAACUUAAUUUAAGUCAUUACAUAAAUUAAGCAUCUUUGAUAAAAUAACUUGAUGAUAUGACUUAAAAUAAAAAAUAACUUUAAGUAAUAAAUAAAAACAAUUAAUUUAUUUUUAAAUCCACAUCUUUAUUUUUCAUUUUUAUCAUUAUUUGCCUUAAUUACUUCUAUAAUAUCUUUUGCUAUUUUACAACUUCCAUUGUUACUUGACCUUUUGUACUCAAAUUAUAAUUUAUAAAGAUAAAUAUGUCAAUUUGAUUAUUUAAAAUAAAUUUUAAGUUAAUUUUAUAAGACAAAAUAAGAAUUAAGUAACAAGUUUUAAGUUAAUAAUUUAAGUAUAAUUUAACUUAAAAUCAAUUUAAAUUAUUAAAUAAUAAGUAUUAAGUUUUAUUUAACAUCCCGUUAAAAUGAACAUUGUGAAGUUGUUAGGUUAUAGUCAACUAGUUUAUAUAUUUUUCUUUAAUUAUUUUCUAAGAAAGUGUUGACGAGUCGCUUAAUCAUCAUUGCAUGAUCAAUUGUAUAAUUAUGACCAUUCACUUUCUUUAAAUUUUAUCCUUUAGUGAUUGACUACUUAUUUAUUUAAAAGGAUAAGAAUAAUUACCAUUUGAAAAUUAAUCUAUAGAUUAGUGGGUUUCUUGAAACCUAAUCUAGGAUCAAGUGGAGUUGGAAUAGGACUACUAUAUUGCAUUUAUGGACCAAGAUUUCUUUCAUAGAGGAAAAAAAAGAUAUGAAUUUCAAGUUUAAGACAAUGGCAAAAUAGACUUUUUAAGUCAUUGGAUUGACUUUGGUAGGCAUUAUGUUAGCAUAGUGCUUAAAGUACAAAAAAAUGCAUUUAAUUUUAACUUUUGCCCAUUAAUCAUAAAUUUCCUUGAAAUAAAUUAUUUUUUAAAAUUUGAUUAACUUAACGAUUGUUUGAUAAAUUAACCUAAUAAUUUAAAGUGAUUUAAUAACUUAAUUUAAGUUAUUAAACCAAUUAAAUUUAUUUGGUGAAAUAACUUAAAAUGAAAAAACAAUUUUAAAUAACAAGUAAAAGUAAUUAAUUUAUUUUUAAGUUUAUAUUUUUAUUUUAUAUUUUUAUCUUUAUUUCUCUUUGUUACUUUCAUGAUCUCUUUUGUUAUUCACAAUCUUCAUUCUUAUUCUAUCAUCAUUACCUUAAUUUUAUUUUAUAAAAAUAAAUAUAUUAAUUUGAUAAUUUAUAAUAAAUUUUAAGUUAAUUUUAUUAAACAACCUUAAUACUUAAAAUAAAAAGAAAGUAAUAAAUUUUAAAUUAAUCAUUAAAGUAUAAUUUAACUUAAAAUUAACUUAAAUUAUUAAGUAAUAAAUAUUAAAUUUUAACAAACAAUCUUUUAGUUUCAUUAUUCUUUUUUUUUCUUUUUAAAAUCGGAAUUUUCAUAUAAAAGUGAAACAUUUUAUAUAAAAAAAAUGUAAAUUUAUCUUAAAUUUUUUAAAAUUACUUUCAAAAAAUUUAAAAUUUGAUAUAGUAAUUUUCUUUUAUGCCCUAAUUAUUAAAUUUUAAAAUAAAUUAAAAUGAUAGCUUACGUGAGUGACUCUAGUGUAUGCUGUUAGGUUAGUCCCUGAUGGGACUAGUUUGGCCUUUGACUCCCAUAUCAGGAUAAACUGGGCAUAGAAAAUCCAAUAAGUUAAUUUUUAACGGUAGUGGCCGAACAACCCAAGAGGGACACGUUUCCAUCGAAGAGAACGUGGUUGAUGCUUGUAUGACUCUCGCGAGUACGACUACGAAUUUUGUCUUUUGCUUCCAUGCAAUUUAUUAGAAGGUCGGUCCAAAGUCCACUCUCUUUUCAUGGUGCGUGACCAAUUUCAAAAUAUUUACGUUAACAUUAAAUUCAAAAUUUUGAAGACCCACAGACUCUCCCAAUCCCAUUUAGAAAGUAUUUAAUACACAGCCCAAGCCACAACCACUUCUUUACUUCUUCCUAAAUCAUUACUCUAUACUUCAGAAAAUUCUUAUUUCAUAAUUUUGGGCCUUAGAAUCAAGUGGGAGUGUGUGUUUUCUAUGAUCUUUAGACCUGUGUGGGAAAAAUUUGGGUUUGAGUUUGAGUGCGGUAGGUGUAAAUUAGCAAAACCACCCAAACUUAAUAUGCAAUAAUGGCUGAUGUUAAAGCAGAGUGCUUUUAUCGUAGUAGGAGUGAAACACUCGGAACAGUCAGCACAAGGAGUAGCAGUAGAAAGAGAAAACGAUAGCUAAAAAAGAAAAUAAGAGAGAGACCAAGAACAAAAACGAAAACAACAACAACAGACUCUGAUAGAUAUCAUAAAAGGGCGUGGAAAUUCAGUUUGUUGUUCAGAUCUUCUCAACUCCCAUUCUCGUUCCUAGAUCCUCACUUUUUACCCACUUCACCGGACUUCUGCUUUCCAGUCACUAUGCUGUCGCUUUCCUGCCGCGGACCCAUCACUGGGUUUAUGAGGUUACAGUGGUGAGAUCAGUUUUGUCCUCUCAAUUUGCAUACAAAGCUCUGAAUUGAAGUUUGGGAAAUGGGUUUUGGUUUUUUUUUGCUGUUUGUUCUUCUGGGUGUUGGUUUUGGUUAUUUUUGGGAGGGAGGUUGAUUGUGUUUUCCAUUGAGGUAUGUGUUUGGAGUGGUUUUUAGCUUUGUUUGUUUCAUAUGUUGAGACUCUUUUGGUGUUUGAAGUAAUUGCUAAGUGGGUUUCUCUGAUCUGAAUAACUUUUGGCCUGUAUUGGUCUUUGGGGUGAUCUGAUCGAGGUGGGUUUAAAAUAUUUUAAAUGGGGUUCUAUUAAAUAUCUUCAAUUCAAUACAAGUAGUUAAUACUCUGUCGGUUCAAUUCACUGGGUGGUUGAUUAAUGCAUAUGGGGCUUGAUAAAUGAGCUGAAUUAAGACUAUCACAUGAUUCAUACCUUCUUUUCCUUUUGCAUUCUUUUGGUUUUGGGUUGAUUUUUAUUGGGCGUUUGCUUAUUGGGUUUCUCUUUUCCGGGAAGAACUGAAUUGCUGAGCCCUAAAAUGGGAAAUGGGAAAUGGUUAUAUCAUGUUGGCAAGUUUGAAUGCUGAGAUGUUUGAUAUGGUUUCAUGGUAAUUCAUCAGCUCUACCCAGUCCAGAUUGGGUAUACUGCAAUACUGGGUUCUGGGGUUGGAUUGGUUUUGUUACAGUUAAUACUAUUAUGUACAAACUUCUUGAAUUUUUGCUCAACUCAGCGUGAUUUCCUGUCCGCACUGUGACUUUCUGGCUUAGCAACCCACGUAGUUAACACAGCUUUUGUUAUUAUUCUAUGAGCUCUUAUUUAACUUGUUACAGGAUUUUGUUCCUCCUCUUUUCUUUUCUGUCAUUUUUCUUUUUGGAAAAAUUUAAAUUUAGAAGAAUUCUGAGGAUGAUCCAUUUAUGAAUGAGCCACCUUUUGAAAAAAUGGUUAUGGGGUUUGAGAUCUCAUGUGGAUCAGCUAGAUCAUUCUUGUUGAAAAUUAAUGAAUUGCAUACUUUUUUUGCCUUCAUUAUUCUGUUCUUCGAUGAAUAAUUUUUUUUUUUUUUUUUCCUUUUUGUAGAUUCCCCUUGUGGUUGUUUGUUAUCACAGGGAUGUAUAAGAACCAGUUGCAAGAAUUAGCGCAGAGAAGCUGCUUCAACUUGCCAUCCUAUGCCUGCAUUAGGGAAGGACCAGAUCAUGCCCCACGCUUUAAAGCCACAGUUAACUUCAACGGUGAAGUCUUUGAGAGUCCAACCUUCUGCAAUACUUUGAGACAAGCUGAACAUGCAGCAGCAGAGGUAGCACUUAAUGUGCUUUCAAAAAAUGGCCCUUCUAAAGCACUGGCUGCAAAAGUUCUGGUACGGGUUUAAACUCAUAUAUUCCUUCCCUUUCAUUCUAUCUGUAACUCGCCUUUCUCCAGUCAUUUAAUUGGGCCUUUAUAAAUUGCCUUAAGUAUUUUUUCUCUAUCAAACAUUAUUUGCUUACUACUCUUGACAAGGUGUUAUGGUAGAGGAUAUAUUACAGGACACAGAAAUUUCUGUCUAAAACUUGAUAUUAGUCUGAGGAAUCACACAUAUAAUGGACUGACAAGUAGUAUAAAACUGGAGGAAUGCAAUGUAUUUUUCUAGUGAUGUGGUGGCUGGAUUUGAAUGUAGAAGAAUGAAGGAACUCGAGCCACCCAAAAGUUCAACAAGUUUGGAAACUGUCAAGUCUAAGGAGGGAAUAAAUUCAUAAGCAAAUGCAAGCCUAGAAAGAAGAUCUUCUCAAAAGAGAUGUGUGCAGGAGAUCUUCCCAAGCCAAGCUUGAAGUUCUACCACAAGAUACUCGAUAAACUUAAGAUCACAUCCAAUGGAUCAACCUCCCACCUCUUUCCAACUUGCAAAAGUGUGGAGUAUAUAUAUCUUCCUAUAACGGUGUUGGUGCUUCAUUACCACAUAAUACUAUCUGUUGAAAGUAGAAGAACUGAAAGAAAUGUCAAAACUUAUUCCCUUGUGUCUCCAUAGCUACAUAUAUAGGUUGGGUGAAAUUCCAUUCUUCAUUUCUAGAGAAGGGUUCAAGAAAUCACUCCCUAACUGAUUACAUGAGUCAUUUAUGCUUUUUUUAUUCCAUUCUUCAUUUCUAGAGAAGGGUUCAAAAAAUCACUCCGUAACUGAUUACAUGAGUCAUUUAUGCUUUUUUUAUCAUUUCCUAUGAUACAGGAUGAAACUGGAGUUUACAAGAACUUGCUUCAAGAGACAGCUCACAGAGCUGGGUUGAAACUUCCUGUUUAUACCACUGUUCGAUCUGGACCAGGCCAUAUUCCUGUUUUCUUUUGCACAGUGGAUAUUGCAAAAAUGAGCUUUACAGGAGAACCAGCCAAAACCAAAAAGCAAGCUCAGAAAAAUGCAGCAAUGGCUGCUUGGUCUGCCUUGAAACGAUGUAUGUUUUUUUUUCCCAUUUACUUUGCUCUUCUUCAGUCUUCAGAGUCCUCUGGACUUAUUUAUGAAAGCUAUCCGGCACAAGUUUUGAAUGAAUUGUGAACAUGGCAUGAGUUACUCAGCAUGGAACUAUCAGAAAGAAAAGAAAGGAAAAUGAGCUGUGGCCAUGAGCAUACAAAGUUUGUUUGUUUCAGGAACUUGCAAUGCUCAAAAUUUUUUCUUAUUUUGGCUGCCUUUGUCAUGGUAUUCUUCUUGAUCAAAUUCCAAACACUUUCUGAACAGUGCCAUGCUCCAGAAAGUCCACACUCACCCCUUUUUUUUGUCUCAAGGGCAGGUUCUAAUGGUUCUAAUGCCCACCAAAUCCAUAAGCAGUGGAAUAGUUUCUGAAAAGGAAUUAACAAAAUGUAUUCAUUUGUUUGCCUUAGUCAUCCAGUCUAACACUUGUCAUGGUGUUUGUGCAGUGUCUCAGGCCAGCUCUUCCACUUCUUCCGCUCCUUUAGAGUCUGGAGGGAAUGAUGAACUGGAGCAAGUCACUGUUGCCCGCUAUCUUGCUAGUUUACAACCACCAGAGGCGAACAAGUCUGCACAAAGAGACGGGCUACUAGGACAGGGUUCUACACCUUGUAGGAGGGACUUGAUGCCAAAUGACAAUGCCAUAUCAUUGUACUCUAUGCACUGCAGGGACUGGUCUCAUUCUGCUCCUCUUAUUCAAUUGGCACAUCAAUCUUGGCCCAAAGAGAGGGCAUCCCAGCAGCAGAACCACCUGUUGGCUCUUCCAUCUGCACCAACCACUCUCCCCAGACCUCAGAUGUCUCCAAUUAUUCGGUCCAUAUUCCAGCCAGACCAUGGGCCAUGUUUCUUACCAAGGGAGCAAGAGCCAGCCCCUCUUAGUCCUGGAAUUGGUCCAUUUCUUUAUUUCUCAAAUGGUUCAAUGCCAGUCCCUGUUAGUAAUCUCUCCCAAGUUACCAUUCAAGAGAUAGAGGAAAAACCCAAAGUGGAACAGGAGUGGCUGAAUGUUGAUGCAAAUUCCGGCUGCUGGAAAAUUAAUUUCCCCUCCAAUUUAUCUGGGCUCUCUCUAGUUGAAAUUCCAAAGUGUCCCAUUUCUCCUAACAGUCAUUCUGAACCUAUCCAGGAGGCGCUGCAGGGAAAAGAAGAGGAAAACAGUGCUGGAAACUCUGCUCAAUUAGGAACCAACCAAAUCCAACGACUUGCUUGGACAUCUCCCAGGUUUGCGGAUACCAGGUCCAGUGCAGGAGCCUCGGAUGAAGCUAAUCUGUGGUUACAAAACCAGCAAUUCUUGGACUAUUUGCAGUCAAAUAUCAGAUCCCAAAAUGCCCCCAUGGCUACUUACCCAGGAUCAUCCAGAGUUUAUACACGACCUUCUGCAGCUCCUGUGACGAUCAGAAGCAGUGAUGCAUCAUCCAUCCGAAAGCCCAGACCAAUGAGUUCGAGCUUAUUCGUAUCAGCUCCACCACCAACCAGGUACGCGGCUCCUACUUGGUCAACAAGGCCAACGCUAGAAGGAGCGAAGUACACUGGAGUGAGGCCUUGUAGUAGGUUCAUGGCACCAGCGGUUAACAUCCGAUCAGUUGUGCCAGUGUGCUCAGCUCCUCCUGCUAAAGACAGGGCAGGAGGCAGCCAGGAGGAGAGAGCUGGAAGGCUACAAGUUCAGAAGUUGGGAAGGUGAAAAUGUGAGGGGGGCAUAGAAUUUUGAAAGCUGAGUAUCCUUUCUGGUUUUUGAGGCGAUUGCUGAGAGAAGUCUGUAAUCUAGGUGCUUUUGGAUUGGGUGACACAAAAUAAAAGAAUAAUAAGAGAAUAAAAUGAUCUUAUUCUUUGACAUCUUCCCAAAUUUUUGGUUCUACUUUUGCUUUUUCUUCAUCCCUUCGUACCAUUUUUUCAGUGAUAAAAGAGUGUUUUUCUUAGCAAGUGUUUUUAUUUUAUUAAAACAAAAACAAAAUGUUUUGCUAAUUGUGAUGGGCUUUGAGUUGGUUACAGCAGUUUCGGCCCAUUACAAGUUGGGCCUAGCCCAGCCCAAGCUCGAACUGGGAUUUAAAUAUUUAAUACAAGCGAUGCCGUUUAAAUAGAAACCAAGUGGACAAAAAGGCCUUGAGAUGAUUCAACUGUCAGUCAGCUUCAGAUGACAGUUGCCUGUCAUCUUAGCCUGACUCCGAGACAACUUUUAAACGGACUCGAUGGCCGGCGCUACUGCCAUCUGCAUACAUCAUGGUGACGUGGCAUAUUUAACAUGGUGAUGUUGGUAGUUUCAGGCCACGUCAGACAGAUUGGAGGUUGAAAAGGGAUAAACGAUUCCGGGAGGCUGAUCCCUUCUUCAUUUUCAAACCCUAAACAAGGGCUGAGUCCCAAAAGCAUGAACCAGUGGAAUCGGAUCCACAACUCACUUCCCUACGAUAUUGCCCUCAAAAUUGCAUCAUCCCUCCAGGUUUUUUUUCUUUUUUCUUUUUUCUUUUUUCCCUUUCUUCAAAUGUAAUAUUUGAUUUUUUUUUGUUGUUGGGAAGGCAUCGGAUCUAUGUUCUCUGGGAAGUUGCUCUAGGUCUUGGCGGGAACUAUGGGGGUCGGAUCCUAUAUGGGAGCGUCUGUGCAGAGAUAGAUGGUCUGUCCAGUGUAUGUUAGGAGAAUCCUCAGCCUCGGAGCUUCACCCCCCUAAAGAGGUUCGAGUUUUUUCUUUCGGCAUUUUUAAACCUUAUUGCAGUUUGUUUGGUUUCCGAGAAAAUUGAGGAAAAGAAAAGGAGAGGAGAUUUGGGAUUUUAUGUUUUUGUGUUGUUUUGGUAUCUGGGAAAUGGAAAAUGUGAGUCAAUUCUUGAAACUCUGAUAGUCGCAUUUAUGGACUUCUAGUUCCAAUUCUGGGAUCUAAUAUGAUGAAAAAGAAAAUGGAUUUUCUUUUCCCACAAUUUCUCAGCAGCCACACGAAUGACUCAAUAUAACAUGUAGUUUAUUAGUUUGCUUGAAUUGUUAGAGGAGAGGGUCUUUGUACAUUAGGACUAUAUCGGACCAUUCAAUUCUUUCAUACUAGGCAUUUGAAUUGGGAUUUUUGGUUUUUCAUUGCUUUUGAAUUGAGGCUGUUUGUAGGAUAAGCAUGGGUUUAGAAGUUGCUUUGCUGAACCACUGAACAAGGAUCCGGACAGCCACCAAUUUGAAUAAGGUUGUGCUGGAAAAGAAAGAUUACAAACUUGGUCCAUUUGGAAAACUCUGGAUUUGGAAUUUGGAUGACACAGCUUUUCUAGUAAUUUUUUGUUACUUCAACACAAAAUUGGGAUAAAUGACUUGCAAAUUUGGUCAAAACACACUGAAUCUUGGAGGAAUGAUAGAAGAAUUUGGAUUCUUAAAAGUCAAUAUUUUUAAAUUUGGAAGAAUGUGGAUUUGAGUAAUAUGACCAUAAUUCAUAAAAUUGAAAACCAUAAGCAUGAACAAAGCUGGGUGUGGGGUUUGAUGAAGUUUAGUUCAUCGUAUCUUUAAUUUUGUACUGAUUACAUUUCAAAUGAUAUAUCUAUGCUUCAAAUACCAUAGAAGACACAAUGUAUUCUACUAUUACCCUGUAAUGUCCAAAGGCUCCUUCUUCCAAUCCACCUCCUUUCAAUACAUUUAGAAGACAGACUACACUCUAUUCUUUCCCAUCAUGUGGUUUGCUGGUAUCGUUCAAAUUGUUGUUUGAAAAUUUAAAUGUGUAGGGAUGGAAGAGCUUUUACAUCAAGUGGCACCAUGAGAUGGCCGGUAGAGCUACUGAUGUUGUUAGGUUUGUGGAAAGUCGUUCCUCCUCUGAAUCACUUGAGGUUGGAGAUCAUCUGAAAGCAAUUGUGGGCCUGAGAGAUAGGCAGCUUGGAUUUAAAGAUGUUCAAAUAUUCCUUUUCAAACCAAAGCUUAAUGUGCUGAUUAACUUGGUUGGCCUGCAAUAUUGCAUUCAAUGGCUUAAAGUGCCGGUAAGUACUGCCAUGAACCACAUGUACCAUCUAUCUUUUGAAUUCAUUCUCAUUUCCAUAUUUUACUAAUCGCCCUUGCCUAGUUUUGCUUCUUUCAUUCUAGAAUAUUGUCAUAGGUGGCGGCAUAUGUUAAAUUAAAGAAUAUAGAUAGGAGUUAAGUUUCUUAUUCUGAUCUCUAAAGCAGAUAAGGGCUAAUCUCUAUGUAGCUAAUAUUCAGCAAAUCAAUAUCAUACAUAUUUCACCUCUAGUAGGAACUAUUGUACCCCAACCAAUCCCUAUAGAAAGGGCAGGGAUUGGUUGUAUCUGAGGCUCCUUAAUUGGGUGUUGCAUUAUGGGACAUGUGUUUUUGGGUUGGGCAGGUGAUGAAAGAAUGAGCAUGACUGCAUGAGUCUAUUUGCAUGUCUGGUAAACAAAGCAACAGCCCCUUUUUCUUUCUUGUUUUGGUGUCCAUGCCCAUGCACCAGCCUGCGAGGAGUACUGUUCUAGAGUCUGUAGCUCAUGUUAGAAGCCUUUAUGUAUCUUCCAUUAGCUAUUGAAAAAAAAAGGAAAAAAGACUGCUGGCUGAAUUGUUGAUGGGUAACACAUCCUGGUUAUACAUCUGUUAGAAGCCUUGGUCACACUCUUUGAUACUCCGACAUUUUGCAGGCUGAGCAUGUCAUGGAAGCAAUUCAAAGCUGCAAGAUUUCAGAGCGGCAAGUCUGCGUGAAAUGGUGGAAGCUAGGGAGGUGGUUUUAUGGAUUCCGCUUGCGGGACGAAUCUCAUUGUCGCCGUGUCUCUUUGAGGGACGUUGCAAAAGAGGAUGAGGUACUUUGGGUGCUUCACCGAGGAGCUAUUCAUGAGGUUUUGCGCGUUCAGAUCUCUAUCCCUAGUCCCUCAACAACUUCCUGGUCAUGUCAAAGCUCCCAAACAUGAGGUUUGGGAAUGGUUCCCUUGCACAAUAUGAUGCAAUGUGUAAAUCUGUACAAAACACUAACUCUAUACAUGUAUAUGCCUGUUUAUGCUCUGAGUGUAAAAUUAAUCAAUCCAGUAGUAGAGCAGUACUGGAUAUGGAUUGUCUCAAAUGUCUAGAACUUUGACUGUAUAUAGAGUGGGAGUUUCGCCGUUCUCCAUUAACAAGCUUGAGUCAUGAGUAGUGUGGAAUGGAAACUGUGAUCUCUCUCAAAGGACCCAUAGGAAAGGAGUAAUUUGUAAGUUUGGAUGAUAAAAUUUUAAUUAAAUAUAAAACAAUUUUUUUGCAACAUUUUCAUGGGAAGAAAUAUUGUUUGUAAAAUAAAAGUCUGUUUGAAAAAUUAAAAUAUUUUUAAUUUAUUUUUAAAUAUAUUUUAAAAAUAAUUUUUAUAUCUAAUAGUUUAUUUUUAAUUAUUCUACAUGUUUGACUUCUAAAAAAUAAGUGAAAAUAAUAAAAAAUAAUUAAAAGAUGUUUUAUGAAAACACUUUAUUUUUUAUUAUUAAGAACAAAAAAUAGAAAAUUGUUUUUUAUUGUCUAACAUGUUUUAUGUGUUUUUUGUUAUGGAGAAGAGGAAAUUGUUCUAAAAAAGGUAUUGAAAGAGACUCUUAGGCCUUGUUUGAUAACUGUUUUUUAAAACAAUUCUAAAAAAUAAUUUUUAUGAACAAUUUUUAAAAAUUGUUCUUGAAUGUUUUUUAUAACAAAAGUCUAUUUGGAACCUAAAGUUUUUUUAACUUGUUUUUAAUAUUUUUAAAAAUAAUUUUUAUGUCUCUAAUUUUAUUUUUAAUUUGUAUAAUUAUUUUUGAAAAUAGCUUUAAAAAAAUAACUAAAAAUAAUUAAAAAAUAUUAUGUGAAAACACCUAUUUUUUGUUUUUUGAUUAUAAAAAAAAAACAAAAAAACUUUUCUUGAAAAUAGUUGUAAAAUUUCCCAACCUUUUGGCCAUGGUCUUUCUUUUAUUAUUCAAUACUAUGGUCUUUCUUUUAUUAUUUAAUAAAUGAAUAAAUAAAACCCUGAAAUACAGUGUAACCCUGGAACACUACCCUAAUUUAGCAUAGUAGCAUUAAACCUCGUCAUUUUUGUCACACCAUUCCUUGUUUUCAUCUCUGUGGCAAGUUUGUGGAGACGAAAAACAGAGUAAGGUAACUCAUCAUAUUCAGUUUGGCUGCUGAGAAACAAGGGAAAAAUAAGUGAAAGCCAGAAUGUUACAGUUCCUUCUUUAUUACCUUGCAAUCCAGUGCCCUCACAUCCACCACGAGCGGCUCCUAAACCAUGUCCUGCGUUUGGCUGCGGAGAAAACGGAGGAAAGGAAAGUUCUCUCAGCAACCAAGUGGAGCUACAAGUGUAACACCAUGACUUUGAUUUGUUUAUUUACUUAUUAAUUUUUGUUUUCGAUCUAAAAUUUUCAUCUGGCUUUCCCAUGGAAGACUUGAGCUUUGCCUAUGUUAACACAAAUGGAUUACGAGGAUAACAUGAGGAAAGUAGCUCACAUUUUCAGAAUAGACCAGAUUGUAGAAUAUGGUGCUUUUAGAUUAUGGAAUGGCUUCUGUAACUUGUGUCGGGUCACACCCUGAGGUUCCAAGAUGCUCGUUUUGUUUGAAACCCCCGCGGGGUUUGCUCUAUUUAAAGUAUUGGACGAAGGAAAGCUCUCAAAGUUAAGGUAAUUAACAUUGAAUUAUGUUUCAUAUGUUGUCUUUAAGGCCUUGCUUCUAUGAUGAAUGUGUUGGAAAAACGUGCUUCAUUUGGAUCUUGGAAAUUGUGAGGAAUGGGAUCAAAUCUCCAAAGUUCGAAUAGGAACCCAAGGCUCGAUCUAUAGAGGUCGUUAUCUUAUGUUGUUGUAGGGAAAAGAAGCUGGUUUUGGUGAAGAUUAUGUUUAGAACCAAAAUGUAUCUUUUUUCUGGCAAAAAGUUUGUUUAUAAGUAUUUUCCUUCCAAACAAAUGUUACCUUAGUAAACUUGAUGUCUAAUUUUUCGAUGUUAUAGGACCUCUCAUCAGUUUGAUUUCCUAUUGCAGGACUUGUGGAAGGAGUUUUCCACAUCAGAGUCGACUCAGACAGGUCACUCAUCUAUGCUUUCUGAUGUUGAGUUUCAAAAAUAGACAUUUGAUAUUCUCUUUGGGGUCAUUAAUAUAGAGUAGUUUCGGGGUGGAUUUUGGUAAAUAGUGAAUACCUAUAUAUUAUCAUGGAGAGUAUAUUUUAAAAUUAGCAAAUGUUUUGAGCCUUGAAGUAGAAGCGCAAUGUCUUGACUCUUUAGAAUGUUUAGAGCUUCUUCAUAGGAAGAAGUGCAUGUAAUGGAUGCUAUUUAAUAAAUAUAAGUCUGCCUUCUGUUCUGGUCAUUUCUUCACUUUGAUGCUACUGAUCUUCCUGUACUGUAAUGAAUUCAUAUUAUUGAGCUCCUUUUCUCUUCCCUUUUGAACCAUGAUCCGGAGAUUGUAUGGUUGCACAGUGACAUUGGAUGGUGAAGUUGAAAGCUUUUAGCAAGUUUAAUAAUAUGUCUGAAGCUUUGUCAGCAGCAACCUUGUUGAUCAAUAGUAAGCCCAGAAACAGUCUUUGCAACUUCUUGCAUGCACACUGUGAUGGUGAAACAUUGGCUAUAGCUGACUCGAAACUUGGAAAUGCAAUAAAAGAGACACCGGUAUUGUAGUAUUUUUAUUAUUUUAUGCCUAGAUUUUCUAAGUUUCUAACUGCAGUCAGCCACUCUUCUUUGUCAUUCAUACAAGUGAGGAGAAGAUAUUUCUCUUCUUUUUUUUUCUUUUUUUUUUUUUCUUUUAGCAGCAAAUCGAAUGUGUUCACAACAAUGCUGUAAUGGAGCUGAUGAGAGGAGUGAGAAGUCAAUUGACAGAACUCAUUUCCGGGUUAGCAGUUCAAGAUUUGGCUCCAAUGAGCUUGGGUUAUUCCACAGCUUGUCUAGAUACAAGCUAAAGUUCAGUCCUGAUAAGGUGAAAUCACUAAACAUUUGGCCCUUAAAAUUUUGCAUUUGUACCCAAAAUUUGUUUGUAAAAGCAUGUUUUGUGUUUGGAAAAGAUGAGACAUGAUAUGCCCUUUCUGUUAUCAUGGCACUUGUGGCUGAAUUAAGAGGAUUGCUUGGUAUAUGGGAAGUGUAAAUCUCAAUGGAUGACCCUAACAAGAUAUAUCUAAUUUGGCAGAAUAAUAUGUGGACUAAAAGCCAACUCUUAGAGGGGUAUUUGGUAAACUGACUUAAUGACUUAAUCUAAGUCAUUAAGUGCAUGAAUUAUGUUUGGUAAGAUAACUUAAUUCCAUAACUUAAAAUUAAAAUUGACUCAAAGUAUUGAAUUAAAAUAAAUAUUUUUUUCUAAAUCUCAACUAUAAUUUGUCUUGGUUGUUUAUGUUUCUUUCCUCUAUGUUUCUCUCUCAUAACCUCAUUACUCAAUAUUAAUGAGGUUAAAUAUGUUAAUCUAAUAGUUUAAAAAAACUUUUAAAUGAAUUUUACCAAACAAUCUUAAUACUUAAAGCAAAAAUUAUGUGAUAAAUUUUAAAUUAACAACCUAGCAUAAUUUAACUUAAAGUCAUCUUGAGUUACCAAGCAUUAAAUAUUAAGUUUUACCAAAUCCCACCUUGGGAAGAUCUUGUUGAAUUGAAUUGGUUCAAGUGACACAUGUGAUUAGAGUUUUAUGGUAAAAUUUAGGAUUCUCUCCUCUUUUUGCCCUUUUAUCUGGACUGACCAAGGAUUCUUCUAUUUCAUUUCAGUAAUGCCUAUUGAUCAUCAUGUGUAAGGCAUUUCUGGAUUUCAUUUUGCUACUUACUUUGACAACAUAUUCAUUUAAUUUGCAAUGAGUAGCUAUGCAGUGCUAUGACUCGGGUGUUUUUUCUUCUGGGAUUUCCUGUAGGUGGAUACAGUGAUUAUUCACGCUAUUGGAUUGUUGGAUGAUCUCGACAAAGAAUUGAAUGCUUACGCAAUGAGAAUUUGAGAAUGGUAUGGAUGGCAUUUUCCAGAGCUUGCUAAGAUUGUACAGGAUAACAUCCUUUAUGCCAAGGCAGUGAAGUUGAUGGGUAACCAUGUGAAUGCUGUGAAACUUGAUUUCUCUAAGGUAAGGAGGCUAGAUUCCUUUGCCUUAACCACUAAGAUAGGAAAACAAAUCAGUUGUCACCUUUUUCCACAUCCAUGAUGGUUAGGUCUCUUUGUUUGAUAGUUUUUGAUGGUCAUGAUCCAACAUUCUGUCUAUCAUGUAGUCGUGACUAUAUUUUUAGUUCAUCAAGAAAAUGAUGAUGUUUUAGAGAGAUUCUGUAAUUGUAAUUAUAACCUGUUGGAUAUGUUUUGGCCUACAGGAGUCUUCUUUCGUAUGAGAUUGCAAGGUCUAGUAGCCAAACCAAAUUGUGUUAAAACCUGUGACCUUUUCUGGGGUCAAUUUUUGCAGAUAUUGCCAGAAGACACCAAGACAGAGCUAAAAGAGGCAGCUGUGAUAUCUAUGGGAACUGAAGUUUGUGACCUAGAUUUGAUAAAAUAUCAAAGACCUCUGUGAUCAGGUGUUGUCUCUUGCUGAUUAUAGAGCUCAACCAUCUGAAAAGCAGAAUGAACACCAUUGCCCCAAAUCUAACUGCUCGUCAGGGAGUUAGCUGGUGCUUACCUAAUUGCCCAUGGAGGCAGUUUGUUGAAUCUUGCUAAGCAACCUGGCAGCACAGUUCAAAUUCUUGGUGCAGAAAAGGCCCUUUUCAGAGCUCUAAAGACAAGACAUGCCACUGCAACAUAUGGUCUUAUCUCUCAUGCAUCAUUGAUUGGUCAAGCAGCCCCAAAACUUAAGGGGAAGACUUCUUGAUCUCUUGCUGCCAAGGCUGCAUUGACCAUUCGGUAAGAUGCUCUUGGAGAUAACCAGGAUAACACUAUGGGAUUAGAAAAUCAAGCAAAGUUAAUACAAGAUGCGAAGUCCCUAUCUGAUGCAUUUUUGUUUCUCCUGAACCUCUUAUUAUGUGGAACUCUUUUGUAGCUUGAAGCCUGGUUGGGGAAUCUUGAGGGCAGAGAAUUGGGUCACUCUGUUGGGUCAAUUAAAGGCAAAUCAAAGAUUGAAAUGUAGGAACAAAGAUCGGAAGGAAUGAGGCCACUAAUAACUGCUGCCAAGGUCUGAAUUUUAUCCCAGUCCCUGCUUUUGAAUAAUUUGGCCUUGCUAAUAUUUUUGUUGAAUUUGACACCCGUUUGCCCAUGAACAGACUCAUAACCCAGCUACUGAUUCAGUCAAUGGGCAAACAACUGAGUAUAUGGCAGAGAAAUCAGUAGAGAAACAGGAGAAAGAUAUCAUCCCUAAGAAGAGGAAAGGUGAAGCAAAACCGUCUCAGGCCAAUGAAGCAAGAAAGGCAAACUCCCAUUUCCACUAACGAGAGAAGAAGAAGAAACCGAACAGAGCUGACACGACAGGCAAAACUCAAUUGCUGCAAAUUGAGGAGCCAAGUUUACAACCAGAGGAAGUGGAGACUGACCAAAGAAAAGAAGAAAAUAGAGGUGGCUGAAGCCAAGGGUAUUAUGGAAAUGGGGAAUCAGAUAGCUGAUCCAAAAGUUGCAGUAGUAGUUCACUAUUAAAGACAAUAAUCUCAAGAAGCCAAAGAAGACUGCAAUUAAAUGAAGAAAAUAAUCCAAAAUAUAUUUGUGCAGGUUAGAACCAAAUGACCUAAUAUUAAAAGGGCAUUUUUGGAUCCUGCAAAACUGGGGUGUAUUUUGAAGAACAGCAUAUACCCAUGUGCUGAUUUAAGGUUUUGAUCGAUUACUAUCAACUCUGAAAAUGGCAAUUGGCUGCCACUACCUUUUAUCCAAGAGAGUGGCAUCUUUUUGGCAUUCCCCACCUUUGACCCCUUUGGGGCUCCCUUUCAUAAAUGAAUUCUCACACUUUUCCUCCCACAAAAAAUAUAUAAAUUAUACGGUUCAUCUCAAACCAACAAGCUGGAUCAGAAAAGAACAGAAAGUGUUAGAAGUAAGAAAAAGAAAAGGGAAAAUGGACUAAAAGUCUCUUAUUGAAUGGUAAGCUGAGCAUAGGUACAAUCAAACACAAAUCCUUGAUGAACAGGUGAAUCCAUCAAUGGUGAAUCAGAAAUAAACAUAAAGAAAAUCCAUAAGUGGAUACAUUGAAAGGGGGAGUAGACCAAAAGAAGAGGGGAGCAUAGAAAUAAGUCAACAGCAACGUUGGUAAACAACAGCAACACCUCCGCGGCGUGGACGAGGAGAGCAAAUAACCAUGAGUGUAAGAGCCAAGACAACCACCAAGAAAAUCCCUGUUAGAUCUAUGCCACCUUCAUCACCGUCCAUGCAACACAACUUCCCCAUCCCCAAACAACGCUCUCUGUCUCAAGUUGCCGACGCCUCUUGUUUCCUAAGCUGCUUUGCAAAUGAUGGGAGAUGGAAUGAAAUAUAUUAAGGGAGGUGGAGAUGGUACCAUAGUUUUAUAGGAGGUCGUUAACUAAAACGUCUUUUUUUUAUUCCAGAGUCUUUAAAUAUUUAAAUUUUCCAUCCGAGUUGAAGGUAAACUUUCACUGGAUUUUGCUACAUGACUUCAAAGAAAUUUCACACUUUGAAUCUUCAAAGAAAUUUUCUUCUAAAGAUCUAUUCAUACUUAGAAAAAAUCUACACGCUUAUUUCUGUUCUAGUCAAUUCCUUUUUUUUCUAGUUUCCUUUCGUUUUUCUCAAAAGGAGGGUGGAAAUAAGGAAGCGAUUGGGUUGUUGGUGAAACUUUCAAUACUCAAACUAAUCACAGUUGACUAAUAAGGUUACCGGUAUCUGCACCCUAGUUGACAAAUAACCAAGAGAACGACUAUUUGCAGACUGCUCUCUCUUCAUUGGAUUCCUGUAAGAAAAUUCAUCAGAUACUCAGAUAUCUCCAGUCAUGGAGGGUGGUUUUGGAAGGAUGUUAAAACACAUUUUACUUUGAUUUAGCAGUUCUUCCAAGCCAUCAAAUGCUACUAGGUUAUUACUGUUCCUGUCGCUUAGAAUCCAGGAAGAAAACACAUUAGGUAUUUAUUAUCUCACCAACCCAAGAUUGAAUACAUAAAGAAAGUCAAUCCAAACCCUGUAUCCAAACCCUGUAUCCAUACACCAAGGAAUGAGGCCACUAAUAACUGCUGCCAAGGUCUGAAUUUUAUCCCAGUCCCUGCUUUUGAAUAAUUUGGCCUUGCUAAUAUUUUUGUUGACUUUGACACCCGUUUGCCCAUGAACAGACUCAUAAUCCAGCUACUGAUUCGGUCAAUGGGCAAACAACCGAGUAUAUGGCAGAGAAAUCAGUAGAGAAACAGGAGAAAGAUAUCAUCCCUAAGAAGAGGAAAGGUGAAGCAAAACCGUCUCAGGCCAAUGAAGCAAGAAAGGCAAACUCCCAUUUCCACUAACGAGAGAAGAAGAAGAAAACGAACAGAGCUGACACGACAGGCAAAACUCAAUUGCUGCAAAUUGAGGAGCCUAGUUUACAACCAGAGGAAGUGGAGACUCUGACCAAAGAAAAGAAGAAGAAAAUGGAGGUGGCUGAAGCCAAGGGUAUUAUGGAAAUGGGGAAUCAGACAGCUGAUCCAAAAGUUGCAGUAGUAGUUCACUAUUAAAGACAAUAAUCUCAAGAAGCCAAAGAAGACUGCAAUUAGAUGAAGAAAAUAAUCCAAAAUAUAUUUGUGCAGGUUAGAACCAAAUGACCUAAUAUUAAAAGGGCAUUUUUGGAUCCUGCAAAACUGGGGUGUAUUUGGAAGAACAGCAUCUACCCAUGUGCUGAUUUAAGGUUUUGAUCGAUUACUAUCCACUCUGAAAAUGGCAAUUGGCUGCCACUACCUUUUAUCCAAGAGAGUGGCAUCUUUUUGGCAUUCCCUGUAGGGAAUUAUACCGAAUUCCCAACCCGUAAGAAUCAAAAAAUUAGAGAAAAACACACGCCAAAGAAAAACAAUCACACGCACAAGACAGUAUUUACAUGGUUCGGCAAUUUUCCUACGUCCACGAAGUUGCAGGGAUAUCACUAUUAUCAGGGAAGAAUACAGAGUACAACUUAACGGCUACAAUAUUCUCUAUAUAUAUAUAGCACGGCAACCCUACCAUACUAAAAAACCCUAAUUACAAAAGGUGGUUCCACAAUGGGCUAAACGGGCCCAACAGGCCUCAAUAAAUCUCCCAUUAAAAAAAUCAUGCAAUAUUAUUCGGGUCGGGUCAUCAAACCGGAUCAAACAAAACUAGGCUCCACAAAGCCCAACAAAUCUCCCACUUGGAGACUAGUCCAAUCACCAACAUCAAACCGCUAUCCUCCAAGAAACGAUCCCUCAUCCCUACAACUCAUCCUCCUGUCCUCAAGCUAGAAGACCAAUUGAAGUUGCGCACAGCUUCAACUUCUCAAUAGUGACACCCUUAGUCAUCAUGUCUGCAGGGUUCUUAGAUCCACAAAUCUUCUCAAGUAUUACCAGUUUAUCCUCAACAAGAUAACGGAUAAAGUGGUAUUUUGUUUGUAUAUGUUUCGACUUUGAAUGAAAAGGCGAGUUUUUGGCAAGAAAAAUUGCACUCUGAAUGUCACUGUGUAGAAUGCCCAUCUCCUGCUUCUUACCCAAUUCAUCUAAGAAACCAUGUAGCCAAAUCAUCUCCUUUCCAGCUUCAGUUGCUGCAACAUACUCAGCUUCCGUAGUAGACAAAGUAACAAUCUUCUGUAGAUUUGNNNNNNNNNNNNNNNNNNNNNNNNNNNNNNNNNNNNNNNNNNNNNNNNNNNNNNNNNNNNNNNNNNNNNNNNNNNNNNNNNNNNNNNNNNNNNNNNNNNNUAGUUGAAUGACUACCCAAGGGUGUGCUCACUGGUUAGCUUCAUUCAUGUUGAACCUGCUGAGAACUUCUCACAUACUCUGACUGUGAAAGUUUCAAUGUACCAUUAGCCUUGUUUCUAAUGAUUCUCAUACCAAGGGAUUGCUUUGCAGCUCCCAAAUCCUUCAUUGCAAACUGUUUGGACAAUUGCUUCUUCAGAUUAUUAAUCUUCUCAAUGUCAGACCCUGCAAUAAGCAUAUCAUCCACAUACAACAGUAAUAUGAUGUAAGAAUUGUCAAAGGACUUAACAUAGCAACAAUGAUCAGCUUCACAUCUCUUGAACCCAAUUCUAUGCAUAAAAUUGUCAAACUUCUUGUACCACUGUCUAGGAGCUUGUUUAAGGCCAUACAAGCUCUUUCUCAGUUUGCAAACUAGAUUCUCUUGUCCCUGAACAAUGAACCCUUCUGGUUGAAUCAUGUAAAGGUCUUCCUCCAAGUCACCAUGAAGGAAUGCUGUCUUCACAUCUAACUGCUCAAGAUGUAAGUUUUCUACAGCCACCAUUCCAAGUACAAGUCUAAUUGUUGACAUCUUCACAACUGGAGAAAAUAUCUCUGUGUAGUCAAUGCCCUCCUUCUGCUGGAACCCUUUAACAACUAAUCUGGUCUUGUAACGUUUGCUGCCAUCAUGCUCAUUUUUUAUUCUGUAUACCCACUUGUUGUGCAAAGCCUUCUUUCCUACUGGCAAUUCAGUCAGUUCCCAUGUCUGAUUCCCCAAUAGGGAAUUCAUCUCAUCCUUCAUGGCUAACUCCCACUUGCUUGAAUUCUCAUCUUGCAAGGCUUCAUCAUAACACUCUGGCUCACCACCAUCAGUCAACAGGAGAUAAUUUAAAACAGGUGCAUAACGUUGCGGAGGUCUAAUGUUCCUGGAAGAUCUACGAACUUCAGCUACAGGUGUACUCAAAUCUACCUGUGAAUUUACAUUCUCCUUAUCUUUUUCACCCCCUUUUUGGACAGUACUUUCAGUCAAUUCAUCUAAGUUGACAAACUCAGAUUUCUUUUGAUCUAUCUCUGUAACAUCUGACGUUACAGUUGACCUGUCCUUGUACAUAACCUGUUCAUUAAAUAUCACAUUUCUACUUCUGAUGAUUUUCCUGUUUUGUUCAUCCCAAAACCUAUAGCCAAAUUUCUCAUCACCAUAGCCAAUGAAAAAACAUAUUUUUGACUUUGCAUCAAGUUUACUACGAGCAUCAGAAUCAAUAUGAACAUAAGAAACACAACCAAAAACUUUUAAAUGUGAAAACUUCACCUCUUUACCGCUCCAAACCUCCUCAGGAAGUCUGAACUCCAUGGGAACUGAUGGUCCUCGGUUUAUCAGGUAAGCUGCAGUGCUAACAGCAUCAGCCCAAAAAGUUUUUGGUAGUCCAGCAUGCAACCUCAUACUUCUAGCACGCUCACUGAGAGUUCUAUUCAUGCGCUCAGCCACACCAUUCUGCUGUGGUGUCCCAAGAAUGGUCUUCUCCAUCCUAAUUCCCUGUGCAGCACAAUACUCACUGAAUCCUCCAUCUAUGUACUCUCCUCCAUUAUCUGACCUCAAACAUUUUACUUUCAAACCUGUUUCUGUCUCAACCAUGGCCUUCCACUUCUUAAAAGUUACAAAUACAUCAUAUUUAUUUUUCAGAAAAUAAACCCAUACCUUUCUACUUGAGUCAUCAAUAAAAGUGAUGUAGUACCUUGAACCUCCUAGGGAUGCAACCGGAGAAGGCCCCCACAAAUCAGUGUGUACUAGUUCCAAUUUUUCAGCCUUCGGUGUCCUGCCAGUUUUCAAGAAGCUCACCUUUUUUUGCUUUCCUAAGAUGCAACUUUCACACAUGUCAAAAUCAAUGGACUUCAAUUCUGGUAGUUUUCCUUUUGACAGCAACAUCUUCAUCCCUUUCUCACUCAUGUGACCAAGUCUGCGGUGCCAUAGGCUUGUAUCAGUACUUGCAUCAGCAACUGCAAUUGUGUCUCUUGGACAUGAGGUCAUAUACAGAGUGUCAGUCUUCUUUCCACGAGCCAAUACCCUAGCUCCCUUUGUAACCUUCCAAGUACCACCAACAAAUAGUAUUGCAUGUCCUUCAUCAUCAAGUUGUCCAACAGAAAUUAGAUUCCUCCUCAAGUCAGGAAUAUGUNNNNNNNNNNNNNNNNNNNNNNNNNNNNNNNNNNNNNNNNNNNNNNNNNNNNNNNNNNNNNNNNNNNNNNNNNNNNNNNNNNNNNNNNNNNNNNNNNNNNCUUCUCAAGUAUUACCAGUUUAUCCUCAACAAGAUAACGGAUAAAGUGGUAUUUUGUUUGUAUAUGUUUCGACUUUGAAUGAAAAGGCGAGUUUUUGGCAAGAAAAAUUGCACUCUGAAUGUCACUGUGUAGAAUGCCCAUCUCCUGCUUCUUACCCAAUUCAUCUAAGAAACCAUGUAGCCAAAUCAUCUCCUUUCCAGCUUCAGUUGCUGCAACAUACUCAGCUUCCGUAGUAGACAAAGUAACAAUCUUCUGUAGAUUUGAAGUCCAUGAUAUAGCUGUACCACCUAGAGUAAAAACAAACUCAGUAGUACUCUUUCUACUAUCAAUAUCACCAGCAAAAUCAGCAUCUACAUAACCUUGCAGUUUCAAACUUGCACCUGUGAAGCAAAGACAUGUAUCUAAUGAACCCUUCAGAUAUCUUAAAAUCCACUUGACUGCCUCCCAAUGUUGCUUUCCAGGCCUACUCAUGAAUCUGCUCACAACUCUCACUGCAUGUGCAAUGUCUGGCCUUGUACACACCAUAGCAUACAUCAAGCUGCCAAUAGCUGAGGCAUAGGGCACCUUGCUCAUAUGGUCCCUUUCUUCUUCUGUCUUUGGUGACUGUUCUUUACUUAGUUUGAAAUGACUACCCAAGGGUGUGCUCACUGGUUUAGCUUCAUUCAUGUUGAACCUGUUGAGAACUUUCUUCACAUACUCUGACUGUGAAAGCUUCAAUGUACCAUUAGCCUUGUCUCUAAUGAUUCUCAUACCAAGGAUUUGCUUUGCAACUCCCAAAUCCUUCAUUGCAAACUGUUUGGACAAUUGCUUUUUCAGAUUAUUGAUCUUCUCAAUGUCAGACCCUACAAUAAGCAUAUCAUCCACAUACAACAGUAAUAUGAUGUAAGAGUUGUCAAAGGACUUAACAUAGCAACAAUGAUCAGCUUCACAUCUCUUGAACCCAAUUCUAUGCAUAAAAUUGUCAAACUUCUUGUACCACUGUCUAGGAGCUUGUUUAAGGCCAUACAAGCUCUUUCUCAGUUUGCAAACUAGAUUCUCUUGUCCCUGAACAAUGAACCCUUCUGGUUGAAUCAUGUAAAGGUCUUCCUCCAAGUCACCAUGAAGGAAUGCUGUCUUCACAUCUAACUGCUCAAGAUGUAAGUUUUCUACAGCCACCAUUCCAAGUACAAGUCUAAUUGUUGACAUCUUCACAACUGGAGAAAAUAUCUCUGUGUAGUCAAUGCCCUCCUUCUGCUGGAACCCUUUAACAACUAAUCUGGUCUUGUAACGUUUGCUGCCAUCAUGCUCAUUUUUAUUCUGNNNNNNNNNNNNNNNNNNNNNNNNNNNNNNNNNNNNNNNNNNNNNNNNNNNNNNNNNNNNNNNNNNNNNNNNNNNNNNNNNNNNNNNNNNNNNNNNNNNNGACGAGCCAAUACCCUAGCUCCCUUUGUAACCUUCCAAGUACCACCAACAAAUAGUAUUGCAUGUCCUUCAUCAUCAAGUUGUCCAACAGAAAUUAGAUUCCUCCUCAAGUCAGGAAUAUGUCGAACCUUCUCCAGUAACCAAACAGACCCAUUGGGCAACGAUAUCCGGACAUCUCCCAGACCCACAACAUCCAAGGCUGAACCAUCAGCCAAAUAUACCUUACCAAAAUCACCUGCAACAUAAUUCUGUAUGAUUUCUCGGUGUGGAGUGGUAUGAAACGAAGCUCCUGAAUCCAAAACCCAAUCAUCAAGUGGACUGUCUACUGCAAGAAGUAAUGCAUCAUGUACCUCUUCUGUUACAGCAUUAGCAGAAUCAUCUUCAUUCUUCUUCUUAGGGCUUUUGCAUUGCCUUUUAAAGUGACCUGUUUUCCCACAAUUCCAGCAUUGUACUUGUUGGCCUGAUCUAGAUUUGCUUCUGUUCCGAUUAGAAUUUCUGGAAUUUGAUCUACCCUGAUUUGAAUUUCUAUUAUUACCUCUGCCUCUUGUCUCAAGGUUUAGGGCAGAACCAGAUCCUGAGGUUUCACCUGCAUCUCUUCGGCGAAUCUCCUCAGCCAGAAUUAAAUCUCGUAUAUCAUUGUACUUGAGUUUUUCCUUUCCCGUAGAAUUGCUUACUGCCAUCCUCAUUGCCUCCCAACUGUUUAGCAAAGAAGCCAAGACGAUCAGAGCACGAAUCUCAUCAUCAAAAUCAAUUUCUACAGGCGACAAUUGAUUUGUGAUUGUAUUAAAUUCAUUCAGAUGUUGUGCUACUGAUGCAUUCUCUAUCAUCUUCAAAUUGAACAAUUUCUUCAUCAGAUGCACCUUAUUGUUUGCGGAUGGCUUUUCAUACAUACCGGACAAAGCCUUCAUUAGAUCUGCUGUGGUCUUCUCCUUUACAACAUUGUGUGCAACAGACCUAGACAGAGUUAACCUAAUAACUCCUAGAACCUGUCUGUCAAGAAGCGCCCAUUCCUCAGCCUUCAUACUCUCAGGUUUUGUCCCCAAAAGAGGCAGAUGCAAUUUCCUCCCAUAGAGAUAAUCUUCAAUCUGCAUCCUCCAAUACGCAAAGUCUGUGCCAUCAAACUUUUCUAUUCCAGACGUCUUUCCUGCUUCCUCUGCCAUUGCUCCCACUCAAACCUAACCUUAGGCUCUGAUACCAGUUGUAGGGAAUUAAACCGAAUUCCCAACCCGUGAGAAACAAAAAAUUAGAGAAAAACACACGCCAAAGAAAAACAAUCACACGCACAAGACAGUAUUUACGUGGUUCGGCAAUUUUCCUAUGUCCACGGAGUUGUAGGGAUAUCACUAUUAUCAGGGAAGAAUACAGAGUACAACUUAGCGGCUACAAUAUUCUCUAUAUAUAUAUAGCACGGCAACCCUACCAUACUAAAAAAUCCUAAUUACAAAAGGUGGUUCCACAAUGGGCUAAACGGGCCCAACAGGCCUCAAUAAAUCUCCCAUUAAAAAAGCCAUGCAAUAUUAUUCGGGUCGGGUCAUCAAACCGGAUCAAACAAAACUAGGCUUCACAAAGCCCAACAUUCCCCACCUUUGACCCCUUUGGAGCUGCUUUUCAUAAAUGAAUUCUCACACUUUUCCUCCCACAAAAAAUAUAUAAAUAAUACGGUACAUCUCAAACCAACAAGCUGGAUCACAAAAGAACAAAAAGUGUUAGAAGUAAGAGAAAGAAAAGGGAAAAUAGACUAAAAAUCUCUUAUUGAAUGGUACACUGAGCAUAGGUACAAUCAAACACAAAGCCUUGAUGAACAGGUGAAUCCAUCAAUGGUGAAUCAGAAAUAAACAUAAAGAAAAUCCAUAAGUGGAUACAUUGAAAGGGAGAGUAGACCAAAAGAAGAGGGGAGCAUAGAAAUAAGUCAACAACAACGACAGUAAGCAACAGCAACACCUCCGCGGGGUGGACGACGAGUGCAAACAACCAUGAGUGCAAGAGCCAAGACAACCACCAAGAAAAUCCCUGUUAGAUCUAUGCCACCUUCAUCACCGUUCAUGCAACACAACUUCCCCAUCCCCAAACAACGCUCUCUGUCUCAAGUUGCCGACACUUCUUGUUUCCUAAGCUGCUUUGCAAAUGAUGGGAGAUGGAAUGAAAUAUAUUAAGGGAGGUGGAGAUGGCACCAUAGUUUUAUAGGAGGUCCGUUGACUUAAACGUCUUUUUUUUAUUCCAGAGUCUUUAAAUAUUUAAAUUUUCCAUCCGAGGUGAAG